This 467-nucleotide ribosomal RNA is filed under the name uncultured bacterium. RNAcentral describes it as "partial 16S ribosomal RNA". It matches the Rfam family "Bacterial small subunit ribosomal RNA", at positions 28 to 507 of the family's 1533-position model. The record is from RNAcentral.
GAUGAACGCUGGCGGCGUGCUUAACACAUGCAAGUCGAACGGAAAGGCCCAAGCUUGCUUGGGUACUCGAGUGGCGAACGGGUGAGUAACACGUGGGUGAUCUGCCCUGCACUUCGGGAUAAGCCUGGGAAACUGGGUCUAAUACCGGAUAGGACGAUGGUUUGGAUGCCAUUGUGGAAAGUUUUUUCGGUGUGGGAUGAGCUCGCGGCCUAUCAGCUUGUUGGUGGGGUAAUGGCCUACCAAGGCGUCGACGGGUAGCCGGCCUGAGAGGGUGUACGGCCACAUUGGGACUGAGAUACGGCCCAGACUCCUACGGGAGGCAGCAGUGGGGAAUAUUGCACAAUGGGCGCAAGCCUGAUGCAGCGACGCCGCGUGGGGGAUGACGGCCUUCGGGUUGUAAACUCCUUUCGCUAGGGACGAAGCGUUUUGUGACGGUACCUGGUGAAGAAGCACCGGCUAACUACGUG